UACGUAGGUGGCAAGCGUUGUCCGGAUUUACUGGGCGUAAAGAGCGCGCAGGCGGUCGUUCAAGUCGCGUGUGAAAGCCCCCGGCUCAACUGGGGAGGGUCACGCGAUACUGAUCGACUCGAAGGCAGGAGAGGGAAGUGGAAUUCCCGGUGUAGUGGUGAAAUGCGUAGAUAUCGGGAGGAACACCAGUGGCGAAGGCAGCUUGCUGGGACGGUACUGACGCUGAGACGCGAAAGCGUGGGGAGCAAACAGG
RNAcentral lists this ribosomal RNA (253 nucleotides) under uncultured bacterium. Its description in RNAcentral is "partial 16S ribosomal RNA". It matches the Rfam family "Bacterial small subunit ribosomal RNA", at positions 524 to 776 of the family's 1533-position model. The record is from RNAcentral.